AAUUUUUUAUGGAGAGUUUGAUCCUGGCUCAGGAUGAACGCUGGCGGCGUGCCUAAUACAUGCAAG
Molecule: ribosomal RNA, 66 nt
Filed under: Staphylococcus arlettae
Lineage: Bacteria; Bacillati; Bacillota; Bacilli; Caryophanales; Staphylococcaceae
Description: partial 16S ribosomal RNA
Rfam family: Bacterial small subunit ribosomal RNA
Source: RNAcentral